CGUCAUGGCUUCGGUGUUUCAAAAAGCCUCUGUCAGAAGUCUGUCACUUUUACAGUCUGUGAUAAAACACUUUGUGUACAUGUUGUUGAAACGUUAUGGAUAUUAGAAAGUUUUUCAAAAGACCACCCAGCUCCGUUCAAGCAACAGCAUCGCCCAGUGAACUGACGGAUGGUGUUGUUUCAGAUAGGAUCAACUGGUAGUGGAGGAUGUUGAUGGAAGAGGGAACAAAGUCAACAUACAGCAAUCAGAAGGUAAUCCAACAACAGUGACCCAGUAUCUCAGCUACUGUUGCCGGGUGGCCAUGUUAUGAAAGUUCUGAGAAGUGCCUAGGGCACGCCUUCGCUCCAGCCAAUAGGGUGGAUGUGCAGGUGUGAUGUUAGCGUGUCUCCUGUUUGCUUUGCUAGUCCGGUGUUUGCUGCUCAAUCAAA
Molecule: long non-coding RNA, 428 nt
Organism: Alosa alosa (allis shad)
Lineage: Eukaryota; Metazoa; Chordata; Actinopteri; Clupeiformes; Clupeidae
Exons: 3
Source: RefSeq, a predicted model, not a curated record